UGUAAAAGAUAACCUUUCGCGUUCGCUUGAAUUCGGGAAAAUCCCUGUGGUUCUGAUGAAGAAUAGAUCAGGGACCGGGGUCUAAAUUGAAGCUUUACAGGAUAAAAGUGUUUAUUAUUUGGAGGUAUCUGUAAAGAGUUUUCCAGAAUGAGGCCUCCGUAAUUUUUAAUUAAAUGGAAGAAAAUUCAUCAGAGUCUUACGUAACGGGAGAUAACACACAGAAUCAGACAGACACAGACAGAAUGACGGAGAGAGCCCGGGGGAAAAGUUAGCCAUGGAUCAGAUGAUGUGGGAUGAUGAAGAAGAAGAAGAUGAUGAGAAUGAAGAUGACGGAGAUGAAGACAUCGAUGAUAAUGAUGAGGAAGAUGAGGAAGACUCGGCCAGCAGUGAACAGAGCGAUGAGGAGGAAGACGAGAUAGAAGAAGAAGAGGAC
This is a long non-coding RNA of Saccostrea cuccullata (small rock oyster), 433 nucleotides long. RefSeq lists it as uncharacterized. The record is from RefSeq and is a predicted model, not a curated record. The transcript has 3 exons. NCBI's taxonomy places the organism in Eukaryota, Metazoa, Mollusca, Bivalvia, Ostreida, Ostreidae.